RNAcentral lists this ribosomal RNA (405 nucleotides) under uncultured bacterium. Its description in RNAcentral is "bacterial SSU rRNA". It matches the Rfam family "Bacterial small subunit ribosomal RNA", at positions 354 to 776 of the family's 1533-position model. The record is from RNAcentral.
GUGGGGAAUAUUGCACAAUGGGGGAAACCCUGAUGCAGCAACGCCGCGUGAGUGAAGAAGUGAUUCGUUAUGUAAAGCUCUAUCAGCAGGGAAGAAAAUGACGGUACCUGAGUAAGCAGCCCCGGCUAACUACGUGCCAGCAGCCGCGGUAAUACGUAGGGGGCAAGCGUUAUCCGGAUUUACUGGGUGUAAAGGGAGCGUAGACGGCCAUGCAAGUCUGAAGUGAAAUGCCAGUGCUCAACACUGGAACUGCUUUGGAAACUGUGAGGCUGGAGUGCAGGAGAGGUAAGUGGAAUUCCUAGUGUAGCGGUGAAAUGCGUAGAUAUUAGGAGGAACACCAGUGGCGAAGGCGGCUUACUGGACUGUAACUGACGUUGAGGCUCGAAAGCGUGGGGAGCAAACAGG